UCCAGCGACGCCGCGUGCGGGACGAAGGCCUUCGGGUCGUUAAACCGCUUUGCUAGGGAGCAAUUUCUGAGUGUACCUAGCGAAUAAGAGGUUGCUAACUCUGUGCCAGCAGCAGCGGUAAUACAGAGACCUCAAGCGUUAUCCGGAAUCAUUGGGCGUAAAGCGUACCGAUAGGCGGUCUGUUAAGUUCUUUGUUAAAUUCCACGGCUUAACCGUGGAAGUGCGGGGAAUACUGGCAGACUAGAGGGGGCAAAGAGGUGCUUGGAACGAACGGAGUAGCAGUGAAAUGCGUUGAUAUCGUUCGGAACACCAAAAGCGAAGGCAGAGCACUGGGUGCCACCUGACGCUGCUAGGACGAAAGCGUGGGGAGCGAAUGGGAUUAGAUACCCCAGUAGUCCACGCUGUAAACGAUGAUGACUUGUCAUUUGGGAGUGUCGACCCUCCUGAGUGACGAAGCUAACGCGUUAAGUCAUCCGCCUGGGGAGUACGGUCGCAAGACUA
Molecule: ribosomal RNA, 501 nt
Filed under: uncultured bacterium
Lineage: Bacteria
Description: bacterial SSU rRNA
Rfam family: Bacterial small subunit ribosomal RNA
Source: RNAcentral